UCUCUCUCUCUCUCUCUCUCUCUCUCUCUCUCUCUCUCUCUCUCUCUCUCUCUCUCUCUCUCUCUCUCCAACAUAAGCUCAACUAUUAUUCUCCCCAUUUGCCCCCUUGACCCCUAGAAGAUAGAAGUAGACACCUAAUCCCCUUACAUGGAAAUUUUACUAUAUGUUUCUCAUCUUUUCUCUACAAUAAUUGUUUCCUUCAUAUUGGUGACAUUUCCUUCAAGAGUGCUCCUUUUCUGCAUAGCUAGACAGGUAUAGUCACAAUUGCCCACUAGAUAAGUAACAGUUUUGACAACUCUUCCUUGUUAAUCUUUGAGAAAGUCUUCAUUUCCUGUUGACCCUGGGUUCUCAAAGGAUCUACAGUCUAAUCAAGCUUCAAAUAGACCUUUGGAGGCCUAGCCUUGUGGGCUUUAGGUCUAGAUUUGUAAAUUGUACUGCUUCAUAUGGUUUUCUGGUUUUGAAAUAGGUUGUCAGAUCUUAAUAUAAAUGUGUAUAACGCCUUUGGACGCAGGCCUGCAGGAUUACAGAAGUCAGAUCCAUUUUCUUAGCAUAGGACCACAUCAUGGAGAAACCUGUUACUUAUCUCUUUUGAGAUACCUUGGAAAUGGGUAGAUGCACAUCUUCCUAUGUAAACAUAGGAGCACUUCAUGAAGUCAAAAUUAAGAGUUGAGACUUGACUAAGUAACAAAGUUCCCAACUGCAUCUAGGUGAUGAUGAAGCUAUAUGGCUUAUUCUUUCUCUAGACUCGUACAAUGUUUAAAAUUUUGGGGAAAGGACUCAAAGCACCCUGAGACAUCUUAGCUCAGACGUCCAAUGAGUUUUCUGUCAAAACCUUGGAAAAAGUAUGAUUCAGGGUAGGGUUGAGUCCUUUAAGUACUUGAAUGAGUUCCUGUGUUUUUCAGACUAACCUGAGCCUAGUACAAUUUUUUAUUGGUGGAUUUGCUGGAACUCAAAAGUCAUAUUUAUGUUUAUGCGACGUUUAAAUGUAUUAUACUUGUACGAAGGUGGAGGAAAAGGGUGUGCUCCUUAGGCAUUUUUCUGUACCACAUUCUUCAUGAAGACAUCUAAGCUGAAAGAAUGCUGAGCUUUUGGAAAGUUUUGAAAAAGCUUAAUGUUCUUCUGGGAAGCAUAUAUACAUACCAUGCACAAACGAUAUAACUACGUGUCUGCUUUCCUACAUAUUGAACCUAUUCUUUUUUUAUGAUAAUUUACAAAAUUUCAUUAAAGUAAAUUGUGAGGUAGAAUAUACUGGAAGUCGAACUCAGACAACAAAUGAACCUCCUAAAGACUGCUUCCAUCUUCAACCAACAAGGACUCCCCAUCGACAGCACCAUUAGCUAAGGCAUAUGCAUCCUGACUUGCCCUGACCAGGACGUGCUGAAAUGAUACAUCUUUAUUCUCACAGAUAUCUUUGAAAACAAUCACUGCCCACCAGUGCAGGCAUGUCUUGUACAAUGUUUAAAAUUUUGGGGAAAGGACUUAAAGCACCCUGAGACAUCUUAGCUCAGGCGUCCAAUGAGUUUUCUGUCAAAACCAUGGAAAAAGUAUGAUUCAGGGUAGGGUUGAGUCCUUUAAGUACUUGAAUGAGUUACUGUGUUUUUCAGUCUAACCUGAGCCUAGUACAAUUUUUUAUUGGUGGAUCUGCUGUAACUCGAAAGUCAUAUUUAUGUUUAUGCGACCUUGAAAUGUAUUAUACUUGUACGAAGGUGGAGGAAAAAGGUGUGCUCCUUAGGCAUUUUUCUGUACCGCAUGCUUCAUGAAGGUAUUCAAGCUGAAAUAAUGCUGAGCUUUUGGAAUUUUUGAAAAAGCUUAAUAGUUCUUCUGGGAAGCGUAUAUACAUACCAUUGCACAAGCGAUAUAACUACAUGUCUGCUUUCCUACAUAUUGAACCUAUUCUUUUUUUGGGAUAAUUUACAAAAUUUCAUUGAAGUAAAUUGUGAGGUAGAAUAUACUGGAAGUCGAACUCAGACAACAAAUGAACCUCCUAAAGACUGCUUCCAUCUUCAACCAACAAGGACUCCCCAUCCACAGCAUCAUUAGCUAAGGCAUAUGCAUCCUGACUUCGCCCUACCAGGACUUGCUGAAAUGAUACAUCUUUAUUCUCACAGAUAUCUUUGAAAACAAUCACUGCCCACCAGUGCAGGCAUGUCUCGACAUCCACCCUCCAUUUCACACACAUCUAUCUCUAAUGCCUUCCC
RNAcentral lists this long non-coding RNA (2198 nucleotides) under Amborella trichopoda. RNAcentral describes it as "long non-coding RNA (ATRI_LNC003251)". The record is from RNAcentral. Lineage: Eukaryota; Viridiplantae; Streptophyta; Magnoliopsida; Amborellales; Amborellaceae.